AUGACAUCUUGGUGUUUAGUGAAUCACUACAGGAGCACGAGGAGCAUCUUCGGCUGGUGUUUGAUCUUCUUCGAGAGCACCAACUUUUUGCCAAACUGUCCAAGUGCUCGUUUGCUCAGGAGAGCAUCGACUACCUUGGUCACGUCAUCUCAAGCACCGGAGUGGCAACAGAUGCGGAGAAAACCCAAGCCAUGCUCAACUGGCCGACACCCUCCACACCAACUGAGCUGCGUGGGUUCCUUGGCCUCACCGGCUACUACAGAAAAUUUGUAG
RNAcentral lists this ribosomal RNA (273 nucleotides) under Triticum aestivum (bread wheat). Its description in RNAcentral is "partial small subunit ribosomal RNA". Lineage: Eukaryota; Viridiplantae; Streptophyta; Magnoliopsida; Poales; Poaceae. The record is from RNAcentral.